Molecule: long non-coding RNA, 3136 nt
Filed under: Volvox carteri
Lineage: Eukaryota; Viridiplantae; Chlorophyta; Chlorophyceae; Chlamydomonadales; Volvocaceae
Description: long non-coding RNA (VCAR_LNC004253)
Source: RNAcentral
GCGGUGAGACCAGCGGCCGUAGCGAUGACAACGCUGAGACGAUUCGCAAGCGCUUCAAGACGUUUCUGGAGCAGUCGCUUCCUGUGAAGGACCAUUACCUGGCUCAGGGCAAGUGCCACGUCAUCAGUGCCGUUCCGUCGCCGGAGGAGGUGUACGGGAAGGUGAAGGCUGUGCUGACCAGCCUUCACGCGCCGGAAAAGGUGAGCAAAGUAAUUUCUUGGCGCGAUACGUUUUCCGUGGCAUCAUCACUUUCGAUGAUUUUACGCUGGUCCGUGCACUCGUUGUGGGUCAGAGCGCUGGACGUGGCUAUAAGUGUUAGCGCAAAAGAGUGAGGAGUCGCAACAUGACAAGCUGGAACAUGGCACGUGGUUUGGAUUGCUCCCUUGCUUCGGAUCGAUUUGUGGAAUACAAUUGCUGUCCCAUUACGACUGCCUUAUCCGGCACCAACACUUUACCGAACACGAUCCAUUUCGUUUUCCAGUCAAACGGAGUCGUGCACUGUGAGCUGCAGGAUUAGCUAUUCCUGUAUAAUUGAAACAAAUUUUGCAUGCCUGCAGUUUGCGCUGCCCCCAGUACAUGGCAGCCUGCCGGAUGAUGCUCAGAUCAUCUUCGUGCUUGGUGGGCCAGGCAGCGGCAAAGGCACGCAGUGUGCGCAAAUCCUUGAGGAGUACGAAUGCGUGCACCUCAGCGCUGGUGAUUUGCUUCGUGCCGAGGUCAAGAGCGGCAGCGUCGUGGGCAGGAAGUGCGAGGAGCUGAUGCGCGAAGGCAAGCUGGUGCCUUUCGCUGUGACGCUGAACCUGCUGAAGAAGGCCAUGAUUGAGAGUGGCGGCAAGUUCUUCCUCAUCGACGGCUUCCCACGCGCCCUGGACCAGGCGGAGCAGUUUGAGAGCAACAUCAUGCCAUGCAAAGCCGUGCUGUUCUUUGACUGCCCUGAGGAGGAGAUGGAGAAGCGGCUGCUGAAGCGCGGUGAGACCAGCGGCCGUAGCGAUGACAACGCUGAGACUAUUCGCAAGCGCUUCCAUACAUUCCUGGAGCAGUCGCUUCCUGUCAAGGACCAUUACCUGGCUCAGGGCAAGUGCCACAUCAUCAGCGCCGUUCCGCCACCAGGGGAGGUUUUCGAAGUUGUGAAGAAAGUGCUGGACGGCAUUUCCGCACCAAGAAAAUCUGAUGUAAGUGACUUAUCAGUUCGUGUCAUGUGGGGUCCAAUGCGAUGAUCCCUCCUGCCAUGGCCUGGUCUGGCAUACAUCACGUAUGCCAGGCGACUGGCAAUUACGGCUCUGCCACACCCCGUGGUGCCGUAUCAUUGGCAAGAGAAUGGGCCCGAAUGUCGAGAAACCCCACGUCCAUGCGUGCAGUACAUACCAUAUCUAUGCGUCGCCACACUCUGCCAUUGUCCAACGUGUUAGGGUUCAUGCUGGAAUUGAGCACUGGGCCUAAUGCCUCAUUUUUAUUUGGAUGGUGACAUGUGACAGCAGUGCGUGCAAUGGCGCAGGUCAUGCUUUGGUGACAGUGAUACGGAACACAGCUUUCAUAAUCUUUCCGUGUCCGCGCCAAAUGCACAUACCCCGCAAACAGGGGAACUGAGUGAUGUGCUUCUCGGUUUCGCUUUUGCGCAAUGCUACAGUCAGACAUAGAAUGAAUGCGUCAUGUGCUUUGGUAAUUGUAGGAGAUUGCCCUGCCGCCUGUGAAGGGCAGCCUGCCGGAGGAUGCUCAAAUUAUCUUUGUGCUUGGUGGGCCAGGCAGCGGCAAAGGCACGCAGUGUGCGCAAAUCCUUCAGGAGUACGAAUGCGUGCACCUCAGCGCUGGUGAUUUGCUUCGUGCCGAGGUCAAGAGCGGCAGCGUCGUGGGCAGGAAGUGCGAGGAGCUGAUGCGCGAAGGCAAGCUGGUGCCUUUCGCUGUGACGCUGAACCUGCUGAAGAAGGCCAUGAUUGAGAGUGGCGGCAAGUUCUUCCUCAUCGACGGCUUCCCACGCGCCCUGGACCAGGCGGAGCAGUUUGAGGGCAACAUCAUGCCAUGCAAGGCCGUGCUGUUCUUUGACUGCCCUGAGGAGGAGAUGGAGAAGCGGCUGCUGAAGCGCGGUGAGACCAGCGGCCGUAGCGAUGACAACGCUGAGACUAUCCGCAAGCGCUUCCAUACAUUCCUGGAGCAGUCGCUUCCUGUCAAGGACCAUUACCUGGCUCAGGGCAAGUGCCACAUCAUCAGCGCCGUUCCGCCACCAGGGGAGGUUUUCGAAGUUGUGAAGGAGGUGCUGGAUAAGCUCCAUUCCCCAAGAAAGCCUCAGGUAACGUUAGCUGAGUGACUAGGGAUGGACUCAGUCCUGGACGUGUGGCAAGCUACUUUCUUGGGAUGGCUCGCCGACCCACAUCGGUGUGCCAGCUGCAGGCUUACACCUUUCGAGCCACCCUGUAGGGUUUGGGGAUAGCUUUAGCUUAUGAGGAGACAGGGUUGUGUAAUCGAUUGCACCGCUCGAUCGGUUGUCAACUUAAAUUGUUGGCAUGCUGCGAUGUUGCUUCAUGAGGGCCAGUGGUGCAAAACAAUGUCCUUAUAGCAUGUGGGGCUUUGAGAGCGACUGAGUGCUAACUGUGCGCGUUUAUGCCUGAGGCGCUUACCUGGUUGGACCAUGGCUAAAUGAGAGUGUUUUAGCUCUUUUUUGUCAUGGAGCACUUGACGUCAUCGGUCAUGGCGAGGCUUUAUCAUCUCUCGCGUCUGUCAAGCUGGGCAUUGGCUUGUCCCUACGAAACAGGGCAUUCAUAUUCAACUGCAUUUGCUGCAAUGUGUUCCGGCCCGCCUGUGUUCAUGAAGCCAGCAAAUCAUUACACGUCGACGGCAGCGUAAUACGUGUAACCUGAUACGUGGCCUACUCGGCCUGACUGAUUUCUUGGUGACCGCUGUACGACCGUUGUGCCUUUGUAGGAGAUUGCCCUACCGCCUGUGAAGGGCAGCUUGCCGGAGGAUGCUCAAAUUAUCUUUGUGCUUGGUGGGCCAGGCAGCGGCAAAGGCACGCAGUGCGACAAGAUCAAACAGGACUAUAAAUGCGUACACCUCAGCGCUGGUGAUCUGCUUCGUGCCGAGGUCAAGAGCGGCAGCGUCGUGGGCAAGAAGUGCGAGGAGCUGAUGCGCGAAGGCAAGCUGGUGC